This is a non-coding RNA of Meleagris gallopavo (turkey), 1019 nucleotides long. The record is from RefSeq and is a predicted model, not a curated record. NCBI's taxonomy places the organism in Eukaryota, Metazoa, Chordata, Aves, Galliformes, Phasianidae.
CCACCUCCUCCUUCAGGUCAACCACAAGCCUGAGUAAGUCAUUUAGCUGGUUGCAUCUUAACAAGUGCUGUCUCCCUCACCUAGCACUGCAAAGGCCUGGCUCUGGUAUUCAUUACAGCCAGAGACCUGCACACUAGCAUCUUCCUUCGGGACCUCAGUCCGGGUCUCCACGUUCUUCUUGGCCGCAACUUUCCUUUUGUGUGAACAUGGGACCUCUGGGUCUCCACGUUUUUCCUGGCAGUAGCCUUCCGCCAGGAUGCAGCCAUGGCAAACCAGCAGACUCACCAGCACUAUUCGGGUAGCCUUAAUGGGGUGUGACCGAUCAGCCCUGCCCUGCUGCCGGUAGUGCUGCCACCGCCCUCCCCCGUUACCAGCCCAUUAACGGGUGCCCCCGCACUUAUCGCUCUCUUCCCAGCGAUAACAAUCCUCCUCACUGCGCAGACCCGGGAAUGGGCGGCUUACGGUUUCUGCACGUUUGAACAGCCCACGUGAUUCACACACCCUGACUCCUCCGCUCCUCCUGCUGGGGGAGGAGGAGCGCCGUUGCCCUCCCGAAGGCAUUGUCUAGGCAGGGGGCUGUGGAUGCGGAACCGUUCCCCAGGCAACGCCCACGGCACGUCAGCCGCUCUCGAGAGAGCUGCUGGGCUGCUCCGUUAUCUCGGGGGCUCCCUGGAUGAGGGAACCGACAGCCCCGAAGCAGCGAACCUCAGCGAUCAAUUUUGUUUCCUAUUUCAAAUUGCAAGCGGCAAUAUCAUUUUCAUCACAUAGGAUUUCAGCACUGUUAAACCCUGAGGUACUGGGACAUAUACAUACAGCCCAAGCUUGCUUUUUCCAGUCCAGUAUUUUCCUCUUCUGGACUGUAUGUCAGCCAACCAGUGUCAUCCAGGCCCCAGUCUUGGCUAGACAUCGAAACAGACAGGAAGCAACAUAGCCUGAAUCUAAUGAAAAAAAGAUGGGGAAACUGCCAUGAGUAUCCUGAUGACAUCCCAGACUGAUCUUUUUGGCCUCUUCUGGAGAGA